This 149-nucleotide unclassified non-coding RNA is filed under the name rhizosphere metagenome. RNAcentral describes it as "partial ribosomal RNA internal transcribed spacer region". The record is from RNAcentral.
GAUUGGCCUCCCGGCCGUUUUCAAAUCCACACACACCGUGAACCGUUCCCGCGUCCUUCGGGCCGUGGGACCAACCAACCAAACAAUGUCCAAUGAACGUGAAAUGUCGUAAACAAAACAAAACUUUCAACAACGGAUCUCUUGGCUCU